CUACGGGUGGCAGCAGUGGGGAAUUUUGGACAAUGGGGGCAACCCUGAUCCAGCCAUGCCGCGUGCGGGAAGAAGGCCUUCGGGUUGUAAACCGCUUUUGUCAGGAGAGAAAUCUCUUGGGCUAAUACCCUGAGAGGAUGACGGUACCUGAAGAAUAAGCACCGGCUAACUACGUGCCAGCAGCCGCGGUAAUACGUAGGGUGCAAGCGUUAAUCGGAGUUACUGGGCGUGGUUGUGGCGCACACGUUUGAAAUCCCCGGGCUUAACCUGGGAACUGCACUUGUGACUGCACGGCUAGAGUACGGCAGAGGGGGAUGGAAUUCCGCGUGUAGCAGUGAAAUGCGUAGAUAUGCGGAGGAACACCGAUGGCGAAGGCAGUCCCCUGGGCCUGUACUGACGCUCAUGUACGAAAGCGUGGGGAGCAAACAGGAUUAGAUACCCUUGUAGUC
Molecule: ribosomal RNA, 449 nt
Filed under: uncultured bacterium
Lineage: Bacteria
Description: partial 16S ribosomal RNA
Rfam family: Bacterial small subunit ribosomal RNA
Source: RNAcentral